GUCUAUGCCCAUGUCACCCUGAACAAGCAGGAUCCCGUCUGAUCUCCGAAGCUAAGCAGGGUUGGGCCUAGUUAGUACUUUGAUGGGAGACCAGGUGCUGUAGGCA
This 106-nucleotide ribosomal RNA is filed under the name Pteropus alecto (black flying fox). The record is from RNAcentral. Lineage: Eukaryota; Metazoa; Chordata; Mammalia; Chiroptera; Pteropodidae.